AUUGAACGCUGGCGGCAUGCUUUACACAUGCAAGUCGAACGGCAGCGCGGGCUUCGGCCUGGCGGCGAGUGGCGAACGGGUGAGUAAUACAUCGGAACGUGCCCCGUCGUGGGGGAGGGCUCGGCGAAAGCCGGAUUAAUACCGCAAACGACCUGAGGGUGAAAGCGGGGGAUCUUCGGACCUCGCGCUAUUGGAGCGGCCGAUGGCAGAUUAGCUAGUUGGUGGGGUAAAGGCCUACCAAGGCGACGAUCUGUAGCUGGUCUGAGAGGACGACCAGCCACACUGGAACUGAGACACGGCCCAGACUCCUACGGGAGGCAGCAGUGGGGAAUUUUGGACAAUGGGCGAAAGCCUGAUCCAGCAAUGCCGCGUGUGUGAUGAAGGCCUUCGGGUUGUAAAGCACUUUUGGCGGGAACGAAAAGGACUGUGCCAAUACCACGGUUCGAUGACGGUACCCGCAGAAUAAGCACCGGCUAACUACGUG
This 484-nucleotide ribosomal RNA is filed under the name uncultured bacterium. RNAcentral's name for it is "partial 16S ribosomal RNA". It matches the Rfam family "Bacterial small subunit ribosomal RNA", at positions 29 to 507 of the family's 1533-position model. The record is from RNAcentral.